CUAGUACUCCCUCCGUCCGAAAAAGUUUGUCCCUCAAAUGGAUGGACCUAGCUCCAAAUUAGCGCUAGAUACAUCCAUCUGAGGGACAAUCUUGGGACAAGCCUUUUCGGACGGAGGGAGUAUUUA
Non-coding RNA from Triticum urartu, 126 nucleotides. Lineage: Eukaryota; Viridiplantae; Streptophyta; Magnoliopsida; Poales; Poaceae. The record is from Rfam.